CAAAUACUCCCUCCGUCUGAAAAUAAAAUACUUGUCAUCAAAAUGGACAAAAAAAGAUGUAUCUAAAACUAAAAUACAUCUAGAUACAUAGCUUUUAUUUAUUUUGAUGACAAAUAUUUUCGAACGGAGGGAGUACGUA
Molecule: non-coding RNA, 139 nt
Organism: Triticum aestivum (bread wheat)
Lineage: Eukaryota; Viridiplantae; Streptophyta; Magnoliopsida; Poales; Poaceae
Source: Rfam